UUGAACGCUGGCGGCAGGCCUAACACAUGCAAGUCGAGCGGAUGAAGGGAGCUUGCUCCUGGAUUCAGCGGCGGACGGGUGAGUAAUGCCUAGGAAUCUGCCUGGUAGUGGGGAUAACGUCCGGAAACGGGCGCUAAUACCGCAUACGUCCUGAGGGAGAAAGUGGGGGAUCUUCGGACCUCACGCUAUCAGAUGGGCCUAGGUCGGAUUAGCUAGUUGGUGGGGUAAAGGCCUACCAAGGCGACGAUCCGUAACUGGUCUGAGAGGAUGAUCAGUCACACUGGAACUGAGACACGGUCCAGACUCCUACGGGAGGCAGCAGUGGGGAAUAUUGGACAAUGGGCGAAAGCCUGAUCCAGCCAUGCCGCGUGUGUGAAGAAGGUCUUCGGAUUGUAAAGCACUUUAAGUUGGGAGGAAGGGCAGUAAGUUAAUACCUUGCUGUUUUGACGUUACCAACAGAAUAAGCACCGGCUAACUUCGUG
RNAcentral lists this ribosomal RNA (482 nucleotides) under uncultured bacterium. RNAcentral describes it as "partial 16S ribosomal RNA". It matches the Rfam family "Bacterial small subunit ribosomal RNA", at positions 30 to 507 of the family's 1533-position model. The record is from RNAcentral.